UAGCCUAGUGGUUAAGGCUAUGGAUCGCCAAUCCGGAGAUGGCGGGUUCGAUUCCCGU
Aedes albopictus (Asian tiger mosquito) is the source of this 58-nucleotide non-coding RNA. NCBI's taxonomy places the organism in Eukaryota, Metazoa, Arthropoda, Insecta, Diptera, Culicidae. The record is from Rfam.